Molecule: RNA transcript, 1415 nt
Organism: Nematostella vectensis (starlet sea anemone)
Lineage: Eukaryota; Metazoa; Cnidaria; Anthozoa; Actiniaria; Edwardsiidae
Gene name: lactadherin
Exons: 8
Source: RefSeq, a predicted model, not a curated record
GGUAUUCGUAUCCACAUAAAAAUAUACUUAUAAAAAGUCUCAGCACAUUUUCGGCACUCAGAACACGUUGUUUGGAAGGGAGUCCUUCUCUUCGAGACUUGAAGGAGUUUAUAGCCAGCGAGUUAAUUAAUGCAUUUGGCACGCGUCAACGGGUGGUAAUUGUCCUUAACGGGUAAUUGAUGCAUACGGAACACGCGACUCGGUUGUUAUCUUCGGUUUGGAAGUCGCAAUGGAGUUUGUACUGCAACUCUUAUUAGUUAUUCUUCUGUCAUGGCAACACGCCAUUGGCCACGACUGCAAGGACUACUUAUACUUGAUGCGAAGCUUUCAGCUGCAAGGAAACGUCAUCGAAACUAACCAGACUACCAAAUACGGUUGUCGACAGAGUUGUCAUAGCCACAAGGAUUGCUUUUCUAUCAACUACAAGGAAAAAGAGUAUCGAUGCGAGCUGAACGCAGCGACACACUUGUCACAUCCCCAAAUGUUAAGACCAGAAGCCAACGCAUUUUACGCGUUGAUUAAAACACCAAACCGCUGCAGUAACAAGCAUUGUUCGAAUGAAAAGAGAUGUACUCUGGUAGGAAACAAGGUGGCAUAUCAAUGCAAUAAAGAUUGCCCGGAAAAGGCUCUUGGUAUGGAAUCAGGAGCUAUUGGAGACUCAGCGAUAACUGCCUCAAGUAUUAAUCAUGACCUGGAUUAUGUGCCUCGGUAUGCUCGCCUUAAUGCGCCAUCAUCUGCUAAUAAUGGAUGGAUAGCUGGGCCCAUAGCUGCAGGAGAGUACCUUCAAGUUGACCUUGGACGUGUAGUAGCAGUCACCAGGUUGCCACUCAAGGGAGACGGAACGCACCCAUGUGGAUGAAAACUUAUAACAUCGGCUACAGCACUGAUCUCUCCACCUGGCACGUCUACCGUGAGGGAGGAAACGCCCAGUCACCUCAUAAGGUGUUCACCGGCAACUCAGAUCAGCACACGGUUGUUUACGGGUCAUUUGAAGAACCCAUUCAUGCACGCGGCAUCCGAUUCAUCGCGCAGAGCUGGAAAUGGCACAUAUCUUUUCGAGUAGAAAUCUACGGCAGAUGUGACAUAUAAUACGACUCUACACCACCUUGGAAAGGCAGAUGCAGUAUGAAACAAUAGACCAUGAUGCCAUGUAUGAAACAAAACUUUGUAAUUGCUUGCCUCGUGUAUUGGUGCUUUAGUUGGAAAGAAGCGGUCUUUACGAAUAUAUAUUUCAUCGACACCGUAGAACUUACUGUAGCUGCAGCAAUGUAUCGUCGAUAUAGCAGAAGUAUAAACCUUUUUUAGGCUACUUGCAUGAAUGCCAGUCACCUUCAUGCUAAUUGCAUGAAUGCCAGUCAACUUCAGGCUACCUGCAUGAAUGCCAGUCCACUGGAGGCUACUUGCAUGAAUGCCAG